RNAcentral lists this ribosomal RNA (498 nucleotides) under uncultured bacterium. RNAcentral's name for it is "bacterial SSU rRNA". It matches the Rfam family "Bacterial small subunit ribosomal RNA", at positions 29 to 527 of the family's 1533-position model. The record is from RNAcentral.
AAUGAACGCUGGCGGCGUGCCUAACACAUGCAAGUCGAGCGGGGUUGAAGCGAGGGGUAACUCAAGCUUCUACCUAGCGGCGGACGGGUGAGUAACGCGUGGGCAACCUGCCUCAAGGUCUGGGAUAACAGCUCGAAAGGGCUGCUAAUACCGGAUAUGCCUAUGGCCUCGCAUGGGGCUAUGAGCAAAGGGGAAACCUGCCUUGAGAUGGGCCCGCGUCCCAUCAGCUAGUUGGUGAGGUAACAGCUCACCAAGGCGACGACGGGUAGCCGGCCUGAGAGGGUGACCGGCCACACUGGGACUGAGACACGGCCCAGACUCCUACGGGGGCAGCAGUGGGGAUCUUGCACAAUGGGCGAAAGCCUGAUGCAGCGACGCCGCGUGAGCGAAGAAGGCCUUCGGGUUCGUAAAGCUCUGUCGUGGAGGGACGAAGGAAGUGACGGUACUCCGGAGGAAGCCGACGGCUAACUACGUGCCGAGCAGCCGCGGUAAACGACG